CAGGUAGCACUGAUGUCAUUGUACAUGGAUGGCAGGUAGUACUGAUGUCAUUGUACAUGGAUGUCAGGUAGUACUGAUGUCAUUGUACAUGGAUGGCAGGUAGUACUGAUGUCAUUGUACAUGGAUGUCAGGUAGUACUGAUGUCAUUGUACAUGGAUGUCAGGUAUGUCAGGUAGUACUGAUGUCAUUGUACAUGGAUGUCAGGUAGUACUGAUGUCAUUGUACAUGGAUGUCAGGUAGUACUGAUGUCAUUGUACAUGGAUGGCAGGUAGUACUGAUGUCAU
Pecten maximus is the source of this 284-nucleotide long non-coding RNA. RefSeq lists it as uncharacterized. The record is from RefSeq and is a predicted model, not a curated record. The transcript is spliced from 3 exons. Lineage: Eukaryota; Metazoa; Mollusca; Bivalvia; Pectinida; Pectinidae.